UACGUAGGGCGCAAGCGUUGUCCGGAAUUAUUGGGCGUAAAGAGCUCGUAGGCGGUUUGUCGCGUCUGCUGUGAAAACCCGAGGCUCAACCUCGGGCCUGCAAUGGGUACGGGCAGACUAGAGUGCGGUAGGGGAGACCGGAAUUCCUGGUGUAGAGGUGGAAUGCGCAGAUAUCAGGAGGAACACCGAUGGCGAAGGCAGGUCUCUGGGCCGCAACUGACGCUGAGGAGCGAAAGCAUGGGUAGCGAACAGGAUUAGAUACCCUGGUAGUCCAUGCCGUAAACGUUGGGCACUAGGUGUGGGACUCAUUCCACGAGUUCCGUGCCGCAGCUAACGCAUUAAGUGCCCCGCCUGGGGAGUACGGCCGCAAGGCUAAA
Molecule: ribosomal RNA, 377 nt
Filed under: uncultured bacterium
Lineage: Bacteria
Description: bacterial SSU rRNA
Rfam family: Bacterial small subunit ribosomal RNA
Source: RNAcentral